UCAAACUUGGUCAUUUAGAGGAAGUAAAAGUCGUAACAAGGUCUCCGUUGGUGAACCAGCGGAGGGAUCAUUAUUGAGUGUAAAAACUCCCAAACCCCCUGUGAACAUACCUUUAGUUGCUUCGGCGGAUCCGCCCCGGGCGCGUCUUUUACAGGCGUGCCCCGGACCCAGGCGCCCGCCGAAGACCCUGAAACUCUCUGUUUUUUACUGAGUAUCUCUGAGUGUGAUUGCAAAAUCAAAUCAAAACUUUCAACAACGGAUCUCUUGGCUCUGGCAUCGAUGAAGAACGCAGC
RNAcentral lists this unclassified non-coding RNA (293 nucleotides) under uncultured fungus. RNAcentral describes it as "partial contains small subunit ribosomal RNA, internal transcribed spacer 1, and 5.8S ribosomal RNA". The stretch from base 1 to 73 matches the Rfam family "Eukaryotic small subunit ribosomal RNA", at positions 1759 to 1831 of the family's 1831-position model. Lineage: Eukaryota; Fungi. The record is from RNAcentral.